GUCGUACCAAGGUAUCCCUCCCGGAAGGUGGGGAUGGAUCACCUCCUUUCUA
Molecule: ribosomal RNA, 52 nt
Filed under: 'Erianthus arundinaceus' phytoplasma
Lineage: Bacteria; Bacillati; Mycoplasmatota; Mollicutes; Acholeplasmatales; Acholeplasmataceae
Description: partial 16S ribosomal RNA
Source: RNAcentral